Molecule: long non-coding RNA, 861 nt
Organism: Oncorhynchus nerka (sockeye salmon)
Lineage: Eukaryota; Metazoa; Chordata; Actinopteri; Salmoniformes; Salmonidae
Exons: 2
Source: RefSeq, a predicted model, not a curated record
GAAGGCAUUCUGCACCCUUAUUGGGGCAUUGGCCAGCCUAUUCUCCGGAUUUCAUCCCCAAUCUAACGGCCAGUCGGAGCGAGCUAACCAGGACCUGGAGACCACCCUAAGAUGCCUGGUCUCAACCAACCUGGAGCCGACAACUGUUCUGGGUGGAGUAUGCCUGGAACACCCUUCCCUGUUCAGCCACGGGACUCUCCCCUUUUGAGGCAAACUGUCUCCCGUUCCAUUUGUCCUUUUUCCAUCUAGAGUCCUUAGUUCCACUGCUGUCUGUUUUUUGUUACCCCGUACCCUCCGUAUUCACCCUACUUUCCACGUGUCUAGGAUUAAGCCUGUGUCUCACAGUCCUUUGUCUUCUGUCUCCAGGCCCACUCCCCAUCCCCAUGCCAUUGAUGGCCAUCCAGCCUACACGGUAAAACGCCUCCUGGAUGUUCGACCACGGGGCAGGGGUUUCCAGUACCUGGUUGACUGGGAGGGUUAAGGACCGGAUGAGAGGUGCUCGGUUCCCGCUAGAGACAUCCCGGAUACAGCCCUCAUCACCGACUUCCACCACCGACACCCCGGUCAACCAGGAAUGUGCCCAGUCUCUUUUGGUUCUAGUCCUCCUGGUUUCGACCCUUGCCUGUCCUGACUCUGAACCCGCCUGCCUGACCACUCUGCCUGUUCUGUCUUCAAACCUGUCUAUCCCCUUGUACUGUUUGGACUCAAAUCUGGUUACUGAACCUCUGCCUGGCUUGACCUCGAGACUGCCCUUCGUCUGGUACUGUUUUGGACUCUGACCCGGUUUAUGAACUCUCGCCUGUCCCCGACUUACCUUUUGCCUACCCCUUGGAUUAAUAAAUAUCAGUGCUCAACCAUCUA